This 76-nucleotide transfer RNA is filed under the name Clostridiaceae bacterium. RNAcentral's name for it is "tRNA-Asn". It matches the Rfam family "tRNA". From Rfam's summary of the family: Transfer RNA (tRNA) molecules are approximately 80 nucleotides in length. Their secondary structure includes four short double-helical elements and three loops (D, anti-codon, and T loops). Further hydrogen bonds mediate the characteristic L-shaped molecular structure. tRNAs have two regions of fundamental functional importance: the anti-codon, which is responsible for specific mRNA codon recognition, and the 3' end, to which the tRNAs corresponding amino acid is attached (by aminoacyl-tRNA synthetases). tRNAs cope with the degeneracy of the genetic code in two manners: having more than one tRNA (with a specific anti-codon) for a particular amino acid; and 'wobble' base-pairing, i.e. permitting non-standard base-pairing at the 3rd anti-codon position. Lineage: Bacteria; Bacillati; Bacillota; Clostridia; Eubacteriales; Clostridiaceae. The record is from RNAcentral. RNAcentral also lists the same sequence under 3 other names.
UCCUCAAUAGCUCAGUUGGUAGAGCACUCGGCUGUUAACCGAGUUGUCGUAGGUUCAAGUCCUACUUGAGGAGCCA